This 208-nucleotide long non-coding RNA is filed under the name Mytilus galloprovincialis (Mediterranean mussel). The record is from RNAcentral. Lineage: Eukaryota; Metazoa; Mollusca; Bivalvia; Mytilida; Mytilidae.
CUGAGGUAGGUUUUCUUUUGUUUUCCAUUCUAUUGCAUUUGAUUUCAGCGAGUCAACAUGGUAGCUCCUUCGUUACGAAAUGUCAAUUUUGGAUUUGACGGUAGCUUAUGAGAAAAUAUGUAAAUUAAAAAUCGGAAAUAUUUGGUUUGAGAAUUAACAUAUUUUUUCCAGCGGUUAUUAACGAAAUAAUCAAUGCAAGCUAAAUAUU